GAUGAACGCUGGCGGCGUGCCUAAUACAUGCAAGUCGAGCGAACGGACGAGAAGCUUGCUUCUCUGAUGUUAGCGGCGGACGGGUGAGUAACACGUGGAUAACCUACCUAUAAGACUGGGAUAGCUUCGGGAAACCGGAGCUAAUACCGGAUAAUAUUUUGAACCGCAUGGUUCAAAAGUGAAAGACGGUCUUGCUGUCACUUAUAGAUGGAUCCGCGCUGCAUUAGCUAGUUGGUAAGGUAACGGCUUACCAAGGCAACGAUGCAUAGCCGACCUGAGAGGGUGAUCGGCCACACUGGAACUGAGACACGGUCCAGACUCCUACGGGAGGCAGCAGUAGGGAAUCUUCCGCAAUGGGCGAAAGCCUGACGGAGCAACGCCGCGUGAGUGAUGAAGGUCUUCGGAUCGUAAAACUCUGUUAUUAGGGAAGAACAUAUGUGUAAGUAACUGUGCACAUCUUGACGGUACCUAAUCAGAAAGCCACGGCUAACUACGUGCCAGCAGCCGCGGUAAUACGUAGGUGGCAAGCGUUAUCCGGAAUUAUUGGGCGUAAAGCGCGCGUAGGCGGUUUUUUAAGUCUGAUGUGAAAGCCCACGGCUCAACCGUGGAGGGUCAUUGGAAACUGGAAAACUUGAGUGCAGAAGAGGAAAGUGGAAUUCCAUGUGUAGCGGUGAAAUGCGCAGAGAUAUGGAGGAACACCAGUGGCGAAGGCGACUUUCUGGUCUGUAACUGACGCUGAUGUGCGAAAGCGUGGGGAUCAAACAGGAUUAGAUACCCUGGUAGUCCACGCCGUAAACGAUGAGUGCUAAGUGUUAGGGGGUUUCCGCCCCUUAGUGCUGCAGCUAACGCAUUAAGCACUCCGCCUGGGGAGUACGACCGCAAGGUUGAAACUCAAAGGAAUUGACGGGGACCCGCACAAGCGGUGGAGCAUGUGGUUUAAUUCGAAGCAACGCGAAGAACCUUACCAAAUCUUGACAUCCUUUGACAACUCUAGAGAUAGAGCUUUCCCCUUCGGGGGACAAAGUGACAGGUGGUGCAUGGUUGUCGUCAGCUCGUGUCGUGAGAUGUUGGGUUAAGUCCCGCAACGAGCGCAACCCUUAAGCUUAGUUGCCAUCAUUAAGUUGGGCACUCUAAGUUGACUGCCGGUGACAAACCGGAGGAAGGUGGGGAUGACGUCAAAUCAUCAUGCCCCUUAUGAUUUGGGCUACACACGUGCUACAAUGGACAAUACAAAGGGCAGCGAAACCGCGAGGUCAAGCAAAUCCCAUAAAGUUGUUCUCAGUUCGGAUUGUAGUCUGCAACUCGACUACAUGAAGCUGGAAUCGCUAGUAAUCGUAGAUCAGCAUGCUACGGUGAAUACGUUCCCGGGUCU
This 1372-nucleotide ribosomal RNA is filed under the name uncultured bacterium. RNAcentral's name for it is "bacterial SSU rRNA". It matches the Rfam family "Bacterial small subunit ribosomal RNA", at positions 28 to 1381 of the family's 1533-position model. The record is from RNAcentral.